UGAAUUAGAAAUGAUGGGUUGUAUUGUAAUUAUAAUUUAUUUAUUUGAUUUUAUAGCAUUUUGAAUUUUCUUGGCUUGAACAAUUUUUUCUUUUUAAGAUUGUUUUCAAUUAGGGUUGGGUACCAAAUCCAUUUAUAAUGUUUUGAUUAAAUUUACAGCAAAAAAGAAGGGUUUGGGUGGGUUCGGAUAAUAGGAUUAUUAAAUGGAUUCAGGUUUGGGGAGAUUGAAUUUCCUGGGAACUGUACCCACUGUCAUUCAGGAUUAUGUUCCUUUUGUCUCUUUUGAUUGUUGCAAGCCUGAUUUGAAAUGUUGGUUGAGGAGACGGAGUUUGUGUCAAGUAAUUUGUAACUCUUGAAGCUUGAUGUUGUUCUGGGGAAAAUGACUUUUUAGAGAUGUUUGAUAUUCAUAGUAAGGAUGUUGUUGAGGAACUGGGUCAUGAAGUUAUAUCACUGAUGUAAUUGAUCUUGGAUGGACUGAUUGCUGAAAUUAUAAUGUUGUUUACUACUGGGAUUUGGUGUUUUGUUUUGGAGGGAAUGGUAAGGGGUUUGGGUUUGAGCUAAUGGAUGAUCAUUAGUGUGUGGUUGUAAUGUGGACAGGCAGGAGGCAGCGGCUGGUUUGGGAUUGGUGGUGGUUUGGUGUUUGUGCUGAUCAGUGGAGGUAGUUAUUAGUAAGAAUAUUUUUGAACAUGAGUUCUGAUAGCAGGAGCCAGAGCAGGAGCAGGAGCAGGAGCAGAAGUCCAGUCUGUGGCUUUGGGCAAGAAUCAGGACUCUGCGACAGAAGUAGAAGCAGAUCAGGUUUAUCAGCUCAAUUAUGUAAAGAUU
This 821-nucleotide unclassified non-coding RNA is filed under the name Hevea brasiliensis (rubber tree). Lineage: Eukaryota; Viridiplantae; Streptophyta; Magnoliopsida; Malpighiales; Euphorbiaceae. The record is from RNAcentral.